This 556-nucleotide ribosomal RNA is filed under the name uncultured fungus. RNAcentral describes it as "eukaryotic LSU rRNA". The stretch from base 198 to 351 matches the Rfam family "5.8S ribosomal RNA". The record is from RNAcentral. Lineage: Eukaryota; Fungi.
AAGUCGUAACAAGGUCUCCGUAGGUGAACCUGCGGAGGGAUCAUUAACAGAGAUGGUGGGCCUCCGUGCCCCCGUCCCCAACCCUUUGUUGACCAAAACCUUUUUGCCUCGGGGGUGGAGCGGCCGUCGUGCCGCCGCCCCCGGUGGACCACCAAACGCUGUCUCUGUACGUCGGAGUCUUAAUGAAAAUAAAUGAAAACUUUCAACAACGGAUCUCUUGGUUCUGGCAUCGAUGAAGAACGCAGCGAAAUGCGAUAAGUAAUGUGAAUUGCAGAAUUCAGUGAAUCAUCGAAUCUUUGAACGCACAUUGCGCCCUUUGGCAUUCCGAAGGGCAUGCCCGUUCGAGCGUCAUUAAAUCCAAUCAAGCCCGGCUUGGUAUUGGGCGUCGGGGUAUCCCCGUGCCUCAAUUUCACCGGCUGGCCGUCGCCCGUCUUAGCGCUGUGACUUAUGUUUCGCUAGCGAUGGGAGGCGGACCAUGCCGUUAAACCCCACGAAUUUCCAUCGGAAUUCGAUUAAGGUUGACCUCGGAUCGGGUAGGAAUACCCGCUGAACUUAA